Molecule: long non-coding RNA, 11898 nt
Filed under: Sorghum bicolor (sorghum)
Lineage: Eukaryota; Viridiplantae; Streptophyta; Magnoliopsida; Poales; Poaceae
Description: long non-coding RNA (SBIC_LNC009702)
Source: RNAcentral
GCAGUUCCUCCUAGUAAAGAUACAUUGCUAUCAAACAAAAAACAUCUCAGAAAAUUAAUACUACAUUGCACUGAACACACAGAUGAGCCAUAUUCUGAAGGUUCUGUAAUCAAUAUUGAGAAAACCUUUGAUUUGCUAAUCCCUGCACACAACCUGGAGGAUCUCUAUUUUUUGGAUUUCUUUGGUCGGAGGUUUCCCAUCUGGAUAGGUACUGCUGCCCAUUUGCCUUCACUGACGUAUUUGAUGCUCAUAGAUUGCAAAUCCUGUGUGCAUCUUCCACCAAUCAGUCAGCUCCCCAACUUGAAAUAUCUGAGAAUCAAAGGAGCCACUGCGGUCACCAAGAUUGGACCCGAAUUUGUUGGCUCUGGGGUGGGUAAUGUUAGAUCUACCGAGGCAGUAGCUUUCCCCAAGCUUGAAGCUUUGGUCAUCGAGGAUAUGCCCAACUGGGAGGAGUGGUCUUUUGUUGCUGAAGAAGAACAAGAAGCAACAGCAGCUGGUCCGGAAGGAGCAGAGGAUGAGACUGAUGCAAAUCAAAAAGGGGCCGUCCCACCUCCAGUGAUGCAGCUGCUGCCACGAUUGAAGAAGUUGGAUCUUCUCCGCUGCCCCAAGCUGAGAGCUCUUCCACAGCAGCUUGGACAGCAGGUCACCAGCUUGAAAGUGCUCCACUUAAGACACGUGCACAGCCUUAAGGUGGUGGAGAACCUUUGUUUCCUCUCAGAGCGCCUUUUGAUCAACGAUUGUGAAGGCCUAGAGAGGGUCUCAAGUCUUCCUCAUGUGAGAGACCUGCGAGUAGCUCGCUGUCCGAAUUUAAGGCGUAUCGAGGAGUUGGGUAGUUUAGAGCAGUUGUGGCUGGGCGUAGGUAUGCAGGACCUCUCCUCACUGUGGAUUCCCGGGCUCAAAUACGAAUGCCAAGACCUCGAAGUGUUCACAUGGCCUAGGAACUAAGAAACAUCCGGUCAGAUGGGCAACACAGCCACAAGCCACAAGGUAUGAACAUACCAACUGGUUUGUCAUUAAUUUGGUUGUGCAUCCCUGCUCCUUUUUUGUGUUGCCUCCUUAAUGAUCUUUUGUUUUUCUUCUGUAUAUUUGUCUUCUGAAGGAAGGAGGGGGGACUGCUCAUCAAGGAGAAGAACAUCUGCCUACCACAAUGCUUUGUGUCUAUUUAUGCCUAUAUAUACACAUUCAUAUGAUCUAUGCCUGCACGAAUUUCUAUAUAUAUACUAAAAUAAAAGCAGCGGUAUGCUACUUGAGUCCGUCGACUCUGUUAUGAGAAUUUAUGUUUGGUUGCUUGACAUUUGUCAAUAUGUAACGUGAAGAGCUUCAUAUAUAUGUUGCUGGCCUGUUUAUAUCAGAGUUAAUCCCUGUUCUUUUUGGUUUGUCUUGGGAUGCCCUGAGUCGUGCUCACUCAUCAUCGAGCCUCUGCUUCCUGCUUAUGCUUGCAAGGGCAGUGCUGUGUUCAUGCUAUCUGCUACUCGCAUCGGCUGGAACAUGUUCAGUAGUGUUUCUCUCUCACAACAAUCAGCGAACAGUACUUUCAACCAUGGUUUAUCAGCCAAGCUAAUAGAGCAAAGUCAUGGACUAGCGACCUGAAUGCCUCCUCUGUUUCCUGCUUGGGCUUGCAAGAGCAGUGUUGUGUUCACGCUAUAUGCUACUCACAGCGGCUGGAACGUGUUCACCACGUUUGUGAUUUUGUUAUACUGUCAUCAAUGCCGUCCAGCCAGAGUCCGACCAACAAAUCUGUUGACUUAAGAAGAGAUUGACACUGUCUGAUCAAGAGUCUUGAUCGAUUAAGCAUUUAGCUUAGACAUUUUGGAAAGGAAAUAUAAGACCGAUUCUACUUCGAACUCAAUUCCUCAUUGGGCCUAGACAAGAUUAGCAACGAGGCCCAGCUGGAAGACGCAUUCUGUACCGAAGGAUUAGGGAUCCUUGGAUAUACAUAAGCGACUACAAGCAUCACUAAAUCAUUAUUUUUGUUUUUUAUUCUUAUGUCGUCACUUGCAGGUUCAUUGCCAAGUCAUUAUUGAUAAUUGAUCCCCACAAACUUAACCAAGGAAUAAUCCACCAUUGGUGCCCUGUCGUCACCACUGCAGCGACCGAGACCGCCAUUGCUGCCUGUCCAAGUCUACAAGCCAUUAGGGUCGGCACUGCGAUUGCAGCCGAGGACAAUAGUGCAGGCACCCAUGGAGCUGACAAAGAAGGCCUGCUGCCAGCAGUGUUGUACGGAGCUGUGAUCCGAGGAGAUGUCAACCCGCGCGGCAGCUGAGCAGAGUCAAGUCGCACCGGCGGAGCAGAGCAUGUGUUGCAUCUGCAGCCACUCAGAUGGCACAUUUGCUGUGUCAGUGAUGUUCCCGAUAAGGUUCCAACGAGUUGUUGUUGCCAAAUAAAAUCUGCACUUCUGCAGUGUGAAUAUAAGGCAAUUAGUGGACAGAGGAACACAGAGGAUGCUUCAGUAGCGCUCUUUGCGUUCUCAGCCAGGGCUUCUCCUUCUGCAUCCUUCCAAUUCGAAUUGGUACACUAUUUUGCUUGUGUGAGUUCAAUAUUUUCCGAUUUGUUCAUCCUUCUUCUCUACUUUCAUGACUGAUUUAGUUAUUGACACCGUUUAUGUUGGUCCUAGCUGCUAGAAGUAAGAAACCCUGUUUUGUGUGGAAAUUCACAUUGACACCUUCAGCAUAAGGGAGUAUUUGGUUGGAGGUAUUGAAGUUUAAUAAGUACUAUAGUUCUUUCGUUUUAUUUGAUAAUUACUCUCUCCAUCCUAAAUUAUAAGUCAUUCUAAGAAUCUUGGAGAGUCAAACCAUUGGCACGAUUUUCUAAUUUUGUUACAUGUUUAUCUAGUCUGCUUAUGAUUAUCGGUGCUCUGUUUCUUUUCUCCCUUUCAGGUCAUCAAGCGUUGAGGACAGAAGUGACUCCAGCCUUGUGAUAAUGAUCAUAUGGUGGUGAGGGAAAUUAUCCGUCAGGUGUCUACGCAUGGACCUGGACCCCUGCAUCAAUCUGAUUGGGUAUGAUGCCAGGGCGAACUACAGACCUAUAGUAUGUUUUGUAACAAGUAUGAAUCCUAGAAGAACAAACGUGUGUGCCCUAGCAUGCUGAUGUAGAUAUGGUGUGGCAGAACAUUGCGUGAAUGUUAGGAACUUAGGAUGGGGAUCAGGGGAUGCAAUGUCGGAUGGACAUGCUGCUAGUACUAGCGUGUGCUCUGUUUAUUGAGCAAGGAGAACUGGAGGAAGCAAUAACCUAGUUCAGAUCCACUUUGCUCGCCGAUUGGAAACCUUGCGGCCCUAACUUGUUAGAUGAACUUUUGAAAGGCUUCAUAGUGAACCCUGCCGACCUUCCUUGGUAGUGGGUUAAGAGGCUGAUCACCUCGGGUGAAAGGGUAAUUCAUGACUCACAGUGAAAGUGUACACCUCUGCGUAGAGUUUAAUAAUCUGGUAGCACUAGUUUACUGCGGUUAGCAUUUUUAAUAAGUCUAAGUCUUAACACUAUCUUGGCCAUUAGUUAUGCAUAAUCCCAAAUUAAACCAUGUGACAGGUUCAAUAGUCAUCACUAUACUCAUCAUCAUUUAUAACAUCAUCAUUAAGUGAACAACUAUUCCAUCAGUUUUUCGGGUCGCUCUUGAUCGUGAGCACGACAGUUAUAAUAGAUUUUAAUAUUCUGCUAAGUCUGUACAUAUUUACUUGAGACCCGUGAUUUACCCUUUCGUCCGAGGUAGCUAGUUUAUUUACUCUCUUUCUAGGGAGGUCGGCAAGGUUCACUAUGAAACCUUUUGGAGGUUUCCCUAACAAGUCUGUGGCCACUAGGUUUUUGUGGCCUACGAACAUAGAGCUCCCCUUUCUGAAGGCAUAUUCCACGUAGGCUAUACACUUAAGAACUGUAACGUCCCGCCUCCACGAGGCCGGGCCCGCUUACAUCUGGCAGCUUUUCUAGGCUAUAGUCAGUCCCCACAGACCAACACUUCGUCUUUUCUGCACACUUUGUCCUCACUCGCGCGCACCCGGGAAGUACUUCCGGGUCGGUCACCCAUUCCUAAAUUGCUCUAGGCCAAGCACGCUUAACUUUAGAGUUCUUUCGAGAUGGGCUUCCGGAAAAGAAGUUGCAACUUGUUGGUAUGAGUCUCCUAUUAAUCCUAUGAAGCCCUGGGCCGGGUGUUACAAGAACAGAAGUUGCACUACAUCUGACCCGAAUCACACCCUUUGGUGCCCUUUCGGGUAACCACUAGCAAGUUAAGAAAGGUCCUACUAAGCUAAAGCCAGAGCCAUGUGGCACCCCCAGUUGUAUUGUAUGUCCCAGAUUUUGCCAAUAGAUAAGUCCUUGGGAGGGACAAGAGCAUCAUGUACAGAAACCAAUUCCUCUCUCGCCCAAUCGUCUAGUUGCUAAGGCAUAUUUUACCAUUCAUUUCAUACAUUCAUUAGUCAUCAUUAAUAUUGUUAAACUGAGCACUAGCCAGCUAUCCAUAUGUAUGUAUAUCCCAUAUGUAAACAAGGCAUAAGAUCUCAAUGACUAGGAUUUCCUUACUGUUAAUCAGUUUAGACACAUGCAAGUGACUAAGUAAUUAACAAGAUUAUAAAUGGGAUAAGAAAUUCUCAUGCUAUAGUUGCCUUGUUGAAAGUUUCCAUGCUGGUCCUGCUCAUCAAAGUAGUACUGCUAGUCGCCCACGAAUGGCUCACCGUGUGGACUCAUGUCAACUAAACAACAACACACAUCCACGAACAAUCAUGCAUGGCAAACGAAGCUAUUAUUAGAACAGUACACCAACAGAAAUAUGUUCAAAAGCUUGUAGAGUUGCUCUACACGUGACUACGAACACAUCAACAUGAAAAUCACCGAAACGAUCUAAAACGCAAAAAUUAUGCAUUAAACGAGAUUUCCUAUAGCAUUUAACUAGGUUUAAAAGGUUAAACUUAACUAUAUUUUUAUUUGUGUAAAACCUAAUUAACAAUUACACAAACAUGUAGAUUACUAAAUGUUGAACCUAACGCAACUUGAAUGGGUCGAUUCAGAGCCAAAAUGAGCAUUUACUAAGCAAAACAAUGAACUAGCAAAGUUGUAAAUAAUGUAAACUAAUUUUGUAAUAAAAAUAAAUCAAAAAUCCUAUUUUUAAAAUUGGCUGACGACCGCGGGUUUGAUUCCAAAGAAACUGAGGCUCUCUUUAGCAAAAUGGCAAGGUGAAGGGUUACAGGGCGAUCUGGACCGUUGGAUCUAAAAUGGAGGGUCGAGAUUAGAUCGAGGGAGAGGAGAGAGGAGAUGGCCGGCUAGAAUAGUGCUCCGGCGGUGGCUAGAGCUUGCCGGAGCUCACGGAAUAGGGCCCACGGGCCUCGGUUUACCACGCUGAGGGCACAGGGGUGGUUUGUAGAGGACAGCGAGUCCGCCCAGGCCCUUUGCGUAGCGGGGGAUGACCCUAGCGGCUUCGAUUUGAUACAAUAAGGGCAUAGGAAAGUAGAGGCGAGGGGAACACAACGAGCUCACAAUGGGGGGAAAACAAGGAUGAUGAUGACCAGAACAACGUUUGGUGAGGGACGGCGUCAUGAGCUCGGUGGAGCUAGGGUUUUGGCGACUGCGAGCUCAGCUCUAGGUGAUGGCGACUUGUGCUAGGGUAGCAGGGCAAGGCGGCGGCACCCGGGCUCCCAUUUAUAGAGGCGCAGGGGCAUGCGACGCCGUGAAGGUUGGGAAGGACGGCGGCCGGAUGAGGAUGGAGUCCUCCUGAUUUGAUCGGGAGGUAGAAGAUAGUGCCAAUAUGUGGGCCCCACAUGGCAGCGGGAUAGAGCGAAGGAAGGUAGUGUCGUUGCUAUGCGUUUGGGCCGAGGCGGUAGCGAGGUGGGCUGGCCCAGAGGAUAAAGUGUGCAUGGCCUGCACGAGGGAGGGAAGGGUAGCAGGCCGCCAUGGGCCAGCAGGCCAAAAUGGAAGGAGAGAGGAAGGAAAUUCCUUUGCCCUUUUUAUUUUUUGGAGUGAUUUUCCAAAACCAUUUUCAAAUAGUCUUGAAAAGAUUUCAGUUUUGGGUCAAAACCAAUCACCACAAAAAUAAAGUGCAACAACUUCAAUGCAUCAUAAAUUAUCUAACCUUAUAUUUGGUUUUAAAAUUCCCAAAAAUUAUUAGUUUUUCCUAUAUUCAAUGCUCACAAAAAUACAUAACAAAUUAAUUUCACCUAUUCUGAAAUGGUGCAAAAUUUUGGGUGCUACAAACACCUUUUAAUUUGUAUAUGAAUUUCACCACAAUCAUCUAAAAAGAUUUUAAAUAUCUCUUAAAUCUACAGUAAAUACUAAUUUAACCCACGACGAAAAAAUAGAUAACUAUCCGUAAAGUAUGAUACAUAUAUUUUUCUAAACUACACACUCCUAUUAUUAAGUAAAAGUAAGCAUAAGCGAUGUUCCACCAUAUAGACAAAGUAAAAUUAUUCAUUAGUAUAAAUACUUAUUUUAAGAUCUCAUCUAGUUAACUUUACAAACCAUUGACAUAUCACUUUAAGGAAUAUUAAUACUAUCGGAAAAUAAAUUUCAUAUGUUGUUCUAUAAAAUAUUACUACUACACUUAUAAUCCCAUGAUAUUACAAAUUCAAUAUAUUGGGUGUCACAAUGCAAGUUGAAAUGACUAGCAUUGCUACACCAUCCUAGAUCUCCCUUCGAGCUCUAUGGUUAAGCAACAUGGUGUAUGUUUUAAAUGAUUGUUUAUUCUAUUAUACUAGUUAAGACUGUACCUACUUUACCUAAUGUAAGGAUAAAAAAGUCUGUAGCAAUCAGUUUAGGAUAAAUUUGAAAAUUAAAAUUUGUAUUCAUUUUCAUUGUGUCAUAAGACGUGGCCAAUAAGAGCCAUGUAGUUUACACUGAGAUUUCAACUAAAUGCAUAUUGAAAAUACAAGUGUGUCACAGCUGGAUCGAACCAUCUAUAUUGUGCCAAUUGUGUCUGUAAAUCAAUAAUGAGAAAACAAAUGCAGUCUAAUAUAAGUAUUUUUUUAUUAGUCUAAUGUAUCAAACAGUAACCACAAUGCUUAUGUCACUUACUUCAGAUUGUAGCUCGUGCGAGAGCCAAUGUUGAUUCACAUGUGUUCCAUGCAGUGCAAUUCUCAAAUACUACAUUGCAUUGCAUCUACAGGCCUGUAUCACUGUCCAUUGACAUAAUUUUAUGACCGGUAUCUGCAAAUUGUCUUACCGCGUCAGACUGCUGCUUAAGUAAUCCUCUUUGUGUUGUCAUCGAGCCAAAUAUGAAUAUGGAAGGGUCAUCUGGAUCACUGUACAGAGUAGCAAACUGGUGUGUUCUCCUACUCUUCUAUAUAUGUUCAUAGAACCUCUUGUGUAGACAUAUAAUUGAUUUCUAGAUUGAACUGCCCAUAUGAAUUUUAUCUAAUUUUCCCCAUUUGAGGCAGAUACAUAUGGCUCACAUGUCACAAGACCAUAUUGUUUAUCCCUAUUCAAUUCAUUGUGGGGUAUUAAUGGAUUGAUUAUCUUCGUCCCCUUCCUCGCAUAAUUGGCUAAGCUGGUGACACAAAUUGUUGUUGUAGGUAGCAGAUGAUCUAAUUGACGUCCUGGAUUUCAAUUAUUGGAGGUUAUAUUCUACCCUUGUGCACAGUUGAGUCUUCUUAUUAACUUCCUCCAAGUGUUGUUAAACUUCUUCCACAGUGUAGUACAUUAAUAACCAACCAUUAACGUGAUUGACUAAUAUCUUAUUAAUGCAUUAACCAACCUAGUCCCUAUUAGAUUUUAUUAACCAAUGGUCGAUCAAUAUUUCCUCCCAACCGACCAGAGUUUUUUUUUUGCUAUAAUGUUUUAGGCUAUUUUCUAUUUAUAAUGUUGUAGGUGAAUAAUUCCUUAAAAAUUGAAAUAGAUCGAAUGGUUGCGUAGAGUCUUCCGAUUAAUGGCCAAAUGUUUCUGAUUAAUGGAAAUUCUAGCAUUUAUCUUUUUCCUAGCAUGUUUGAUGAGAAUUAACAUGGAGUCUCCAUUUGGGCUUGUAAGUAGUAACAGUACCUUGUAUUGAUACGUUAAGCAACCCUUCACAUGAUCAUUAAGGGCUAAUAUUUUAUUAAUGGAUUAACGAACUUUUAACCCUUCACAUGAUAGGUAUUCUCCAUUAGAUAUUUUAUUAGCUAAUGGUUGUGGCUAGAGUCUUUUUCGGCAUGAUAUUUUAAGCUAUUUCCUAUUGCAAUGGAGUUGAGUAUUUUUUAGAAAAAAUUAAAUAGAUCCAAUUUUAUUGGAUAGUUAAAGUCUUCAGAUCAAUGCCUAGAUGUUUCUAAUUAAUAUGUGAAUUUUGAGCAUUUAUCUUUUUUCUUGGCACGUAUGGUGAAAACUAAUAUAGAGUUUUCAUUGAAGCCUCUAAUUAGUAUAUUAGUUAAACAACAGUUAACAUGAUCAAUGAUGAGUAAUAUUUUAUUAAUAUAUUAGUAACCAACAGUUAAUGUGAUCAGUAUUCCCAAUGCAGAAACCAUCAUAGUUUCUAUAGACAUUACUUAUGGUGCCACCUAAGUAUUUUGCUGAUGUGGCAAGGUAGUUAUUGAAGAGAUAGAGAAAAAAUCAUAGAAACUGGGUCUAAGUUAGAAACCAUGUCUACACAAGAUCCAAGACGUGAAAUGAUAUGAUUGGUUGAGAAUAGAGAGAGAAUGAAUGUGAUUGGAUAAAAAAUUAUUGUAUAGAAACUUUCCAUUAGGACCAUAGUUUCUAUACAUAGUGUCUAUAAAAAUUAAUAGUUAUAGAAACUACAUAUAGUUUCUAGCAUUGGGAGUGCCCUUAGAUUUUUUUAGAAACAAUCAAUUAAUAAUUCCUCAUGUGCGGCCAGAGUUUUCUCUUGCAAUAAUAUAAUAGGCUAUUUUUUAUUUAUAACUAUGGACGUGAGUAUUUUUUUUAAAUAAAAUAGGUCCGUUAUGGACACUUAGAGUCUUCCAAUCUUUGCCAGAUGCUUCUCAUUAAUGUGAGAAUUUCUAGCAUUUAUCUUCAAUGGUCAUGGAUAGUUAAGUCUUCUGAUUCAUGGCUCGAUGUUUAUGAUUAAUGUGAGAAUUUUUAGUAUUUAUUUUUUCCUAGCAUGUCCACUGAGAAUUAAAGUGAAGUCUCUGCUUGGGCCUCUAAUUAGUACUAGUAUCUUAUAAAUAUAUUAAACAAUCAACUGUUAACACGAUCAUUAACAACUAAUAUUUUAUUACUAUACUAACCAAACUUUAAUGUGAUUCCGUAUUUAAUCUUUUAUAACCAACAGCCAAACAAUAUUUCCCCUUAUCCAAUGGUUAUGGAUAGUUAGAGUCUUCAGAUUAACGAACAGAUGUUUCUAAUUAAUAUUAUAGUUUCUAGCAUUUAUCAUUUGUUGGCGUGUCUGGUGGGAAUUAACAUACAGUCUCCAUAGUAGUUUACAAGCGAUGUGUACAUAUCUGAUUUCCCGUUUUAAACUUUGUGCAUUUUCAGACCUAAGUUCAUUUGUUUGUGGAUUGACAUCAUUCAAGAGCUAUCAAGUUGCUAUUAUUACAUCUUUGUCUGGUCUGAAGAAAAACUUGCAACUGCAGUGGGUCUGCUUCUAGGAUUUAACUAAUGGCAACGAUAUUAUUUUCUUUUGCUGGAUCAUGCAUCCAAAAACUCCAAGAAGUCAUUACAGAGGAAGCAAUUCAAAUACUAGGUGUUAAACAAGAGCUCAGUGACCUUCAGCAAACAAUGAGACAGAUACAGUGUUUUCUCAAAGAUGCUGAUCGAAGAAGGAUUGAAGACUUAUCUGUUAGCAAUUGGCUUAGUGAUCUGAAAGACGCAAUGUAUAGUGCUGAUGACAUCAUUGACUUUGCCAGGUUCAAAGGGAGCAAGCUACUAGGAGAACAGCCUUCUCCGUCAUCAUCAUCAAGAAAAUUAGCUACAUGCACUGGUUUUCCACUUAUCUCUUGCUUUUCUACUAUUUGGACACGACGUGAGAUUUCUGUGCAGAUUAGAAGCCUCAAAGAAAGAAUAGACAAAAUUGCUGAACUAGGUACAAAGUUCAAGUUUGAAACAGAACCUGUGUUAAGCAUUUCAGAUAUGAGAAAAACAUCCCACCUUGUUGAACCAAAUAUUGUGGGAAAGGAGAUUAUUUAUGCUACCAAUAGAUUGCUAGAGUUGGUUCUGAACCACAGAGAAGAUAAGGUUUACAAGAUAGGUAUUGUUGGAACAGGAGGAAUUGGAAAGACAACACUAGCUCAGAAAUUAUACAAUGAUCAAAGACUAAAAGGAAGCUUUGAGAAACAUGCAUGGAUUUGUGUUUCCCAGCAGUACUCUCAAGUUCCUUUGUUGAAAGAAAUACUUCGAAAUAUUGGAGUGCAGCAAGAGCAAGGUGAAAGUUUGGGAGAGCUGAAAGCCAAACUUGCAGAAGCCAUUAAUGGAAAGAGAUUUUUGCUUGUGUUGGAUGACUUGUGGGAGUCUGAUGUAUGGACCAAUUUGCUAAGAACUCCACUCGCUGCCGCUGAUCAAGUAACAAUUUUAGUAACAACUCGGCAUGAUACAGUUGCAAAGGCAAUUGGAGUUGGACAUAUGCACCGAGUUGAAUUGCUGUCAGAGGAAGUAGGAUGGGAGUUACUAUGGAAGAGUAUGAACAUAUCUAGUGAGAAAGAAGUGCUCAACUUGCGUGAAACUGGAAUUGGGAUUGUUCAAAAGUGUGGUGGCCUUCCUCUUGCAAUUAGGGUUGUUGCUAGUGUCCUAUCAACAAAGGAGACAACAGAGAAUGAAUGGCGAAAUAUUCUAAGCAAUGAUGCUUGGUCUAUGAGUAAGCUCCCAGCUGAACUGAGAGGUGCUUUGUACUUGAGUUAUGACCAGUUACCACAAAACUUGAAGCAAUGUUUCCUCUAUUGUGCCUUGUAUCCCGAAGAUUGGAUAAUGUGUCGUGAUGAUCUUGUCAGGUUCUGGAUCGCUGAAGGCUUUGUAGAGAUGAAAGAGAACCAGCUAAUGGAAGAUACAGCAGAACAAUACUACUAUGAGUUGAUCUCAAGGAACCUUCUACUACCAGAUCCUACCUAUCUUGACCAAUAUUGUUGCAAAAUGCAUGAUCUACUGAGGCAGCUUGCAUGCCAUUUAUCAAUGGAAGAUUGUUUCCUUGGAGACCCACAACUUUUGGAGGGUAUAACUGUUUCUAGACUACGACGUUUGUCAUUGGUAACAGAUAAGGAAAUUGUUGCUUUGCCAAGUGUGGGUAGUCAACAACUCAAAGUGAGAAGUAUAAUGAGUUUUUGUGGUAACUCGCUUACAAUUGAACCUUCAAUGUUCAAAAGUUUUUUGUAUGUUCAUGUUUUGGAUCUCAGCGGGUCAAACAUAAAAACAAUUCCAAACUAUAUUGGCAAUUUGAUUCAUCUGCGUUUAUUCGAUCUUCAGAGUAGCAGUAUAACUUGCCUUCCAGAGUCUAUUGGUUCAUUAAAAAAUCUUCAGGUAUUGAACUUGGUGGAGUGUGGGGAUUUGCACAGCCUUCCUUUAGCAGUCACUCGAUUAUGCAGCUUAAGAAGUCUUGGUCUUGAGGGCACACCAAUUAACCAAGUUCCAAAAGGAAUAGGUGGAUUAAAGUAUCUAAAUGAUUUGGGAGGAUUUCCAAUUGGUGGUGGCAAUGCUAAUAGAGCUAGAAUGCAAGAUGGAUGGAACCUAGAAGAGUUGGGUGCUCUUAUGCAGUUGAGGAGACUUGAUUUGAUUAAUCUGGAAAGAGUAGGUCCUUGUACUACUGAUUCGAUGUUAGUAAACAAAAGGUAUCUCAAAAGGUUAUCUCUAUGUUGCAGUGGAAGUACAGACAAACCAUAUUCUGAAGAUGUUGUAAUCAAUAUUGAGAAGACUUUUGAUUUGCUAAUCCCUGCACACAACCUGGAGAAUCUCGGUCUUUUGGAUUUCUUUGGUCGGAGGUUUCCCACCUGGAUAGGUACUACUGCGCAUUUGCCUUCACUGACGUAUUUGAGGCUCAUAAAUUGCAAAUCCUGUGUGCAUCUUCCACCAAUCGGUCAG